Alosa sapidissima (American shad) is the source of this 1337-nucleotide long non-coding RNA. RefSeq lists it as uncharacterized. The record is from RefSeq and is a predicted model, not a curated record. The transcript is spliced from 3 exons. Lineage: Eukaryota; Metazoa; Chordata; Actinopteri; Clupeiformes; Clupeidae.
UGGAGUGACCGUUACUUUUUUCUUCAAGUCAACUUCAGUCCUCACUCACUCACCCAAGUGAUGCAGCAACUUUCAACAGAGGAGCUUCUGACGUGUGAGAGAAAACACAUUUGUAGGAUGGAAUAAUCUUUGUGGAAGAGGAGGCACAGCUAAGGUUUAGUUUAAAUGGGUCCCUCUAAUGCAGAAUAAGUGCUAACAGUGAAGUACCUUUCCAGAAGGAUUUAACAGCUAUGUGACAGUAUUAAUGGUAGUGCCUUCUGAGAAGCAUCAAAAAGCUCUCUACCCACCACGAAAUAAGCGAAUUGAGAAGAAGGAGCGGUUUCUUUUGGACAUUGAAAAUGCUAUUACGCAAGGAAGUUUGAACUUAUCAAAAGCAAAAAUGAGCCAACCACCCCAGGACUCCCUUGAGGCUCUCCUUAAUGAAAUGAUGUAACCAUAUCACAUAUUUGUUUGUUUACUGUUUUUCCAUUAAUAUAUUUUAAUUUGUAAUACAUAUUGCAUUUUAGAAUAGAAGUCCCAUGAGUUUCUCCUUGUUUAGAUGAGUAAUUUGUCAUACAGUAUAGGCUAAGUUAAUCGAUGUUCUUACAGCAUUUCCAUUGGAAUUUGCAGCAUUUUUAGGCAUAUCUCCCACCUCCUCAUCCUCAUGCCAGGUAUGUGCGACCUGCAUAGCCACUGUCACCCAGUAUCCACCUAUCUCCCCUCCCUCCAGUAGUGCACAGAUGGCUGUUGUCAAAAAUCCAUCUUGUCAGUAGCCUACCACUCGGUACCAGGGGUUUAGUGAUAAAAUAAAAAUAAACUAUGAAUUCCAUGAUCAAGGUGUGUGCCGUGACAUGGAAUUAAGAGUUUAAAAAAGACAUUCAGGGCCUGUUUGAUGAUGGUUCAAUGGUAUUAAAUGUCUCAGUAAGAGUUGAUAAGUGUACUGUUGUGAAGGUGGAUAAUGCAGUGUGAUUUCGGAAUUGUAAAACUUCCAUUUGGUCCAUAAACUAUCAGGAGGUGGAUAAACUCUAUUUCUGUCAGUUCAGAGGUGGAUAAACUGCGUUUAAUUGCGUUUAGCCUCCACUACAUCCCUGGUACCACUGAAAACUUCUAACUUAAACCUCCUCCAGGGGUGGUUUAAAUUAAUCUGCUAGUCCAGCUUUAUCCUAGGUUUAAAAUUACUGGUGCAACAGACUUGCAUUUAAUCUAGCUUUAAGUGGAAAAUUAAUCUGGGAUUAACUGGGGUUUAAAUUUAACCAGAGUUUAAUUUAAACUCAAUUUAAACUAGGUUUAAGGUUGGUGCAACAUAAUUAGUCAUUAACCCAUGAUUUAAUCCAGUUUAAAAGUUAAACCACGUUGGU